This 788-nucleotide ribosomal RNA is filed under the name Algoriphagus yeomjeoni. RNAcentral describes it as "bacterial SSU rRNA". It matches the Rfam family "Bacterial small subunit ribosomal RNA", at positions 51 to 843 of the family's 1533-position model. Lineage: Bacteria; Pseudomonadati; Bacteroidota; Cytophagia; Cytophagales; Cyclobacteriaceae. The record is from RNAcentral.
AUAAAUGCAGUCGACGGUAGAUUACUUUCGGGUAAUUGAGAGUGGCGAACGGGUGCGUAACGCGUAUGCAACCUACCCUAUACAGGAGGAUAGCCCGGAGAAAUCUGGAUUAAUACCCCAUAGUAUCAUUGAGCUGCAUGGUUUAAUGAUUAAAGAUUCAUCGGUAUAGGAUGGGCAUGCGUCUGAUUAGCUAGUUGGCGGUGUAACGGACCACCAAGGCUACGAUCAGUAGGGGUUCUGAGAGGAAGGUCCCCCACACUGGCACUGAGAUACGGGCCAGACUCCUACGGGAGGCAGCAGUAGGGAAUAUUGGGCAAUGGACGAGAGUCUGACCCAGCCAUGCCGCGUGCAGGAAGACGGCGUUCUGCGUUGUAAACUGCUUUUAUCUGGGAAGAAAAUGCCCUUGCGAGGGAAAUUGCCGGUACCAGAUGAAUAAGCACCGGCUAACUCCGUGCCAGCAGCCGCGGUAAUACGGAGGGUGCAAGCGUUGUCCGGAUUUAUUGGGUUUAAAGGGUGCGUAGGCGGCUAUUUAAGUCAGUGGUGAAAGACUCCGGCUCAACCGGAGCAGUGCCAUUGAUACUGGAUAGCUUGAGUAUUGGAGGGGUACAUGGAAUUGAUGGUGUAGCGGUGAAAUGCAUAGAUACCAUCAGGAACACCGAUAGCGAAGGCAUUGUACUGGCCAAUAACUGACGCUGAUGCACGAAAGCAUGGGUAGCGAACAGGAUUAGAUACCCUGGUAGUCCAUGCCGUAAACGAUGAUUACUCGCUGUUAUGGCUUUAUGUUGUAG